AUGUACACAAAAACAGGAAAAGGAGGGGAAACUGGGCAUGAAUUUGAGAGACUGGGGCCACACUGGAUGAGGUGGAAGGCCAGACUGAGCCUCAGAGUGGCAAAUGUGAGGUGGCUUAUGAUCUCAGGGGCUUGGAGAGGACAAUCCUUACACUUUCUUUCUGGAGACACAUCUUUGGUCUCUAGCAACAGCUUGGGCAGGACUCUGGAGCUCUGCACGUGGCCUCUGAGGAAGCCCAUGAGCAUCUGCAGAGGUGGGGAACCACCAGCCAUGCUCCACGAACCAGCUGCAGUCACAGAGUGAUAACAUACCCCUGCUGGAUCCCAAGGAAUGGGAUGAAACCCAGGAAAAUCAGUAAGCUCCAGAUGCUCUUAAUUUAAAAACUAAGGCAAAUGAGGCCAAAAGCUUCUCAGUGCAGAGAAUGAUGAAUGCAAUCCGCUGUUGCUGCUGCUGUGCUGCUAUUAUUACUCAUAAUGAGGAAUGACUCUUUUUUCAUUUCAGAUGCCUUUGAGAGGUUUCCCUGGUAGAAGCUGGAUCAACUGCUUUCCCAGAUAGGGGGAUUUUUCUGUCUCCCUGUGCUGUGAUGUGUCAGUGCAAUGUAAGGCAUGGAGCCCCUGCCCUGCCUGAACAGUAAUCAGGAGAGAAUGUUUCUCUGGGAGCCCUGCUCCCCAUCUUCUCUCACCACUGCUUAUGUGACUGGGAAGGAGCACCACAAGCCUGUGAUGAGGGCAUAACCAGUCCUAUAGAAGAGAAUUGCUUCAGAAUUUGAAAUGAGAAAUGCAGCAUGCACAUCCUCCGAAGCCUCCAUGCUGUGAAAAAAACCAAAGUGCCACAACACGUGUGGGGCACUGUUGAAGGAAAAGCGAUGGAUUUCCUCCUGCUGCAGGUUUCCUGCUUCAUUUGUAGGGCUGUGCAAAGGGAGGCACCACACAGCCCAGCACAAGGCAGCUGAGCAAAAAGGGCACAUUGCUAUUGGAUCAUUCUCACCUCUUGCUUGUCCUUCUGCUAGGGUAAGGUGUGUUGAAAGCAAAACCACUGAUUUCCUGCAAAUCAGUCAUGCAGGCACUGUGUUUUGCUGGAGGCAUUGCUUGUGGGGCAGGAAUCAUUCAUGGGGGACAGGAGGUGUAUGGGCACACAUCCAGGAUAAGAGAGACAUGCCUUCCUGAGCAGCCUGUGGGACACUGUCUAGCAGCCCCUUCAUCACCUUUCAGCCUUACUUAGAUCCCUACAGUUCAGUCUGAGGUCUGUUGUGGCAUACACCACUUGCUCUGUGGUCAGCCAAACCUGCAGCACUGAGUUUUCAACUGUGAGCGCACUCACUGAGCCCUUUCACACUGGCAAACCCAAAGACAGAUGUGGUGGAGGUACUUGCACUACCUCCCCAUGCCUCAGCAGUGAGUGACAGCACCUGGCCCCCAGGGUGUUCAGAAACCUUCAUGUGCGCUGCCUACCCAAGAAACUCAUCUGCACUCUGCCCCCAAGGUGAGAGUCUAAUAGGAAUUCUUUGAGACACUGAUCUUUUGUGAGACAGACAAAAAAAAUGCCAUAAGUAACAGCUUUGAUAGCAUUUAAAAUGAAUGCCCAGCUAGUAGCACACACCCCCAGCAGAGCUUAUUUGAAAAUAACUGCAUUUUCACUUAGUUUCCAUGUAGAGUGCUGAAACAACAGUUUUUUAAAGCACUCCUUUUGCUCAGUGGUAUCUGCUUUCCUGCUCCAUGCUUAAUCUCUUUCAUACCCUAGCUGGCUUUUUAUAAAUUGUGGUAUAACUUCACUUAGGCAGGGACAUGCAAGGUGCUUUGGUACUUCCACCACUUUGCUCAGUAAGUGCCCUGAGAGUAUUUGCUGAAGCUUGCACUGCAUUUUAGCUGGUUUCAGUUCAACUGCAGACUUCUACUUUGUCAAAUAAAACUGUUGAGAUGAGUCUGAGUCGGCUCA
Cyanistes caeruleus (blue tit) is the source of this 1935-nucleotide long non-coding RNA. Lineage: Eukaryota; Metazoa; Chordata; Aves; Passeriformes; Paridae. The record is from Ensembl.